GGAAUCAUUCUUAAUUUGACGUUUCUCUACAAGGGGGGUAGGGGUGGAUUUGAACACCGCGAGAUCAAAAUUGUGGCAGGAAGCUCCCGUUACAUUUGUGUAAGUAAGAUACAUGGAGAACCAUUCAAAACCGAACAAAUAAAACCUUACAUUAAUUAAUAACAUAUGUACAAAUCCCACUCCUGCAAUAAUGCUUGUGGAAACAAACUCUACACACCCACGAACCCAAAACAAAAAUAUAUAUAUAUCAGCUCCUACCUCUGAUUUGCCCAGAAUUUGAAGUGUUUGAAAGAGAGAGAGGUGUCAAUGGAGGAGAGCACAUCACAUCACCCUUGCCCUUUCUUUGAGGAGAUUCUAGAAGCUGGGCUACAUGUAGUGCCAUUGCUCUCUGAUUAUUGGAAGGUAUAGAAAAACUUCGAGGAAUGGUUAGCGGAGGAAGUGGUAGUGGAGAACCCGUAUUUGAUGCCAGCACAGGGCUCUGAUUAGUUGGUGAUGUUUCUUGAUUUCGGUUGACUAAAGGCGCAGAGUGCCCAAAUGCAGUAGAACUUGAUGGCUUGGAGGCCAAUAUGCCAGGGGGACGAGGGAGCUCAUGAAGCUCACUUAUUUUUGGUGAAGAAACAAGGGGAGGUGAAGCACUGUAGGAUACAUCUAGAGUCGAUGG
RNAcentral lists this unclassified non-coding RNA (661 nucleotides) under Hevea brasiliensis (rubber tree). The record is from RNAcentral. Lineage: Eukaryota; Viridiplantae; Streptophyta; Magnoliopsida; Malpighiales; Euphorbiaceae.